GCCCCCUUAGCUCAGGGGAUAGAGCAACGGCCUCCGGAGCCGUGUGCGCAGGUUCGAAUCCUGCAGGGGGCA
Thermomonospora curvata DSM 43183 is the source of this 72-nucleotide transfer RNA. It matches the Rfam family "tRNA". From Rfam's summary of the family: Transfer RNA (tRNA) molecules are approximately 80 nucleotides in length. NCBI's taxonomy places the organism in Bacteria, Bacillati, Actinomycetota, Actinomycetes, Streptosporangiales, Thermomonosporaceae. The record is from Rfam.